Molecule: ribosomal RNA, 445 nt
Filed under: uncultured bacterium
Lineage: Bacteria
Description: bacterial SSU rRNA
Rfam family: Bacterial small subunit ribosomal RNA
Source: RNAcentral
GUGAGGAAUAUUGCGCAAUGGAGGCAACUCUGACGCAGCCAUGCCGCGUGCAGGAAGAAGGCGCUACGCGUUGUAAACUGCUUUUAACCGGGAAGAAACCCCAGGACGUGUCCUGGGUUGACGGUACCGGAGGAAUAAGCACCGGCUAACUUCGUGCCAGCAGCCGCGGUAAUACGAAGGGUGCAAGCGUUAUACGGAUUCAUUGGGUUUAAAGGGUGCGUAGGCGGAGCGUUAAGUCAGUGGUGAAAUCCUGCAGCUUAACUGUAGACUUGCCAUUGCUACUGGAGCUCUUGAGUGCGCUUGAAGUGGGCGGAAUGUGCCGUGUAGCGGUGAAAUGCUUAGAUAUGGCACAGAAAACCAAUUGCGAAGGCAGCUCACUAAGGCGAUACUGACGCUGAGGCACGAAAGCGUGGGGAUCGAACAGGAUUAGAUACCCUAGUAGUCC